CUACGGGGCGCACCAGUGGGGAAUAUUGCACAAUGGAGGAAACUCUGAUGCAGCAACGCCGCGUGGAGGAUGACACUUUUCGGAGCGUAAACUCCUUUUAUAUAGGAAGAUAAUGACGGUACUAUAUGAAUAAGCACCGGCUAACUCCGUGCCAGCAGCCGCGGUAAUACGGAGGGUGCAAGCGUUACUCGGAAUUACUGGGCGUAAAGAGCGUGUAGGCGGGUUUGUAAGUUGGAUGUGAAAUCCUAUGGCUCAACCAUAGAACUGCAUCCAAAACUGCUUACCUAGAAUAUGGGAGAGGUAGAUGGAAUUUCUGGUGUAGGGGUAAAAUCCGUAGAGAUCAGAAGGAAUACCGAUUGCGAAGGCGAUCUACUGGAACAUUAUUGACGCUGAGACGCGAAAGCGUGGGGAGCAAACAGGAUUAGAUACCCUAGUAGUC
RNAcentral lists this ribosomal RNA (439 nucleotides) under uncultured bacterium. RNAcentral describes it as "partial 16S ribosomal RNA". It matches the Rfam family "Bacterial small subunit ribosomal RNA", at positions 339 to 795 of the family's 1533-position model. The record is from RNAcentral.